RNAcentral lists this ribosomal RNA (231 nucleotides) under uncultured bacterium. RNAcentral describes it as "partial 16S ribosomal RNA". It matches the Rfam family "Bacterial small subunit ribosomal RNA", at positions 524 to 753 of the family's 1533-position model. The record is from RNAcentral.
UACGUAGGGUGCAAGCGUUAUCCGGAAUUAUUGGGCGUAAAGAGCUCGUAGGCGGCCAGUUGCGUCUGCUGUGAAAUCCCGGGGCUCAACCCCGGGCGUGCAGUGGAUACGGGCUGGCUAGAGGCAGGCAGGGGAGAACGGAAUUCCCGGUGUAGCGGUGAAAUGCGCAGAUAUCGGGAGGAACGACCGGUGGCGAAGGCGGUUCUCUGGGCCUGUACUGACGCUGAGGAG